Molecule: ribosomal RNA, 370 nt
Filed under: uncultured organism
Description: bacterial SSU rRNA
Rfam family: Bacterial small subunit ribosomal RNA
Source: RNAcentral
CGUAGGGUGCAAGCGUUAAUCGGAAUUACUGGGCGUAAAGCGUGCGCAGGCGGUUAUGUAAGACAGGUGUGAAAUCCCCGGGCUUAACCUGGGAACUGCAUUUGUGACUGCAUAGCUAGAGUACGGUAGAGGGGGAUGGAAUUCCGCGUGUAGCAGUGAAAUGCGUAGAUAUGCGGAGGAACACCGAUGGCGAAGGCAAUCCCCUGGACCUGUACUGACGCUCAUGCACGAAAGCGUGGGGAGCAAACAGGAUUAGAUACCCUGGUAGUCCACGCCCUAAACGAUGUCAACUGGUUGUUGGGUCUUCACUGACUCAGUAACGAAGCUAACGCGUGAAGUUGACCGCCUGGGGAGCACGGCCGCAAGGUUG